GCGGCAGCGACGCUGAUGCGUUGUUGGGUAGGGGAGCGUUCUGUAAGCCUGCGAAGGUGGCCUGUGAGGGUUGCUGGAGGUAUCAGAAGUGCGAAUGCUGACAUAAGUAACGAUAAAGCGGGUGAAAAGCCCGCUCGCCGGAAGACCAAGGGUUCCUGUCCAACGUUAAUCGGGGCAGGGUGAGUCGACCCCUAAGGCGAGGCCGAAAGGCGUAGUCGAUGGGAAACGGGUUAAUAUUCCCGUACUUGGUGUUACUGCGAAGGGGGGACGGAGAAGGCUAUGUUGGCCGGGCGACGGUUGUCCCGGUUUAAGCGUGUAGGUGUGUGUUCCAGGUAAAUCCGGUUCACUUUAACACUGAGGCGUGACGACGAGGCACUACGGUGCUGAAGCAACAAAUGCCCUGCUUCCAGGAAAAGCCUCUAAGCAUCAGGUAACAUCAAAUCGUACCCCAAACCGACACAGGUGGUCAGGUAGAGAAUACCAAGGCGCUUGAGAGAACUCGGGUGAAGGAACUAGGCAAAAUGGUGCCGUAACUUCGGGAGAAGGCACGCUGACACGUAGGUGAAGUGAUUUACUCAUGGAGCUGAAGUCAGUCGAAGAUACCAGCUGGCUGCAACUGUUUAUUAAAAACACAGCACUGUGCAAACACGAAAGUGGACGUAUACGGUGUGACGCCUGCCCGGUGCCGGAAGGUUAAUUGAUGGGGUCAGCGCAAGCGAAGCUCCUGAUCGAAGCCCCGGUAAACGGCGGCCGUAACUAUAACGGUCCUAAGGUAGCGAAAUUCCUUGUCGGGUAAGUUCCGACCUGCACGAAUGGCGUAAUGAUGGCCAGGCUGUCUCCACCCGAGACUCAGUGAAAUUGAACUCGCUGUGAAGAUGCAGUGUACCCGCGGCAAGACGGAAAGACCCCGUGAACCUUUACUAUAGCUUGACACUGAACAUUGAGCCUUGAUGUGUAGGAUAGGUGGGAGGCUUUGAAGUGUGGACGCCAGUCUGCAUGGAGCCGACCUUGAAAUACCACCCUUUAAUGUUUGAUGUUCUAACGUGGACCCGUGAUCCGGGUUGCGGACAGUGUCUGGUGGGUAGUUUGACUGGGGCGGUCUCCUCCUAAAGAGUAACGGAGGAGCACGAAGGUUGGCUAAUCCUGGUCGGACAUCAGGAGGUUAGUGCAAUGGCAUAAGCCAGCUUGACUGCGAGCGUGACGGCGCGAGCAGGUGCGAAAGCAGGUCAUAGUGAUCCGGUGGUUCUGAAUGGAAGGGCCAUCGCUCAACGGAUAAAAGGUACUCCGGGGAUAACAGGCUGAUACCGCCCAAGAGUUCAUAUCGACGGCGGUGUUUGGCACCUCGAUGUCGGCUCAUCACAUCCUGGGGCUGAAGUAGGUCCCAAGGGUAUGGCUGUUCGCCAUUUAAAGUGGUACGCGAGCUGGGUUUAGAACGUCGUGAGACAGUUCGGUCCCUAUCUGCCGUGGGCGCUGGAGAACUGAGGGGGGCUGCUCCUAGUACGAGAGGACCGGAGUGGACGCAUCACUGGUGUUCGGGUUGUCAUGCCAAUGGCACUGCCCGGUAGCUAAAUGCGGAAGAGAUAAGUGCUGAAAGCAUCUAAGCACGAAACUUGCCCCGAG
Molecule: ribosomal RNA, 1620 nt
Filed under: Salmonella enterica
Lineage: Bacteria; Pseudomonadati; Pseudomonadota; Gammaproteobacteria; Enterobacterales; Enterobacteriaceae
Description: partial 23S ribosomal RNA
Rfam family: Bacterial large subunit ribosomal RNA
Source: RNAcentral